CGUGGGUAACCUGCCCAAGAGACUGGGAUAACACCUGGAAACAGAUGCUAAUACCGGAUAACAACACUAGACGCAUGUCUAGAGUUUAAAAGAUGGUUCUGCUAUCACUCUUGGAUGGACCUGCGGUGCAUUAGCUAGUUGGUAAGGUAACGGCUUACCAAGGCAAUGAUGCAUAGCCGAGUUGAGAGACUGAUCGGCCACAUUGGGACUGAGACACGGUCCAAACUCCUACGGGAGGCAGCAGGG
Molecule: ribosomal RNA, 246 nt
Filed under: uncultured bacterium
Lineage: Bacteria
Description: partial 16S ribosomal RNA
Rfam family: Bacterial small subunit ribosomal RNA
Source: RNAcentral